Molecule: ribosomal RNA, 434 nt
Filed under: uncultured bacterium
Lineage: Bacteria
Description: partial 16S ribosomal RNA
Rfam family: Bacterial small subunit ribosomal RNA
Source: RNAcentral
AGCGAACGCUGGCGGCAGGCCUAACACAUGCAAGUCGAACGAACUCUUCGGAGUUAGUGGCGGACGGGUGAGUAACACGUGGGAACGUGCCUUUUGGUUCGGAAUAACUCAGGGAAACUUGUGCUAAUACCGAAUGUGCCCUUCGGGGGAAAGAUUUAUCGCCAUUAGAGCGGCCCGCGUCUGAUUAGCUAGUUGGUGAGGUAACGGCUCACCAAGGCGACGAUCAGUGGCUGGUCUGAGAGGAUGACCAGCCACACUGGGACUGAGACACGGCCCAGACUCCUACGGGAGGCAGCAGUGGGGAAUCUUGCGCAAUGGGCGAAAGCCUGACGCAGCCAGGCCGCGUGAAUGAUGAAGGUCGUAGGAUUGUAAAAUUCUUUCACCGGGGACGAUAAUGACGGUACCCGGAGAAGAAGCCCCGGCUAACUUCGUGC